This 497-nucleotide ribosomal RNA is filed under the name uncultured bacterium. Its description in RNAcentral is "partial 16S ribosomal RNA". It matches the Rfam family "Bacterial small subunit ribosomal RNA", at positions 28 to 507 of the family's 1533-position model. The record is from RNAcentral.
GAUGAACGCUGGCGGCGUGCCUAAUACAUGCGAGUCGAGCGAACGGACGAGAAGCUUGCUUCUCUGAUGUUAGCGGCGGACGGGUGAGUAACACGUGGAUAACCUACCUAUAAAACUGGGAUAACUUCGGGAAACCGGAGCUAAUACCGGAUAAUAUUUUGAACCGCAUGGUUCAAAAGUGAAAGACGGUCUUGCUGUCACUUAUAGAUGGAUCCGCGCUGCAUUAGCUAGUUGGUAAGGUAACGGCUUACAAAGGCAACGAGGCAUAGCCGACCUGAGAGGGUGAUCGACCACACUGGAACUGAGACACGACCCAGACACCUACGGGAGGCAGCAGUAGGGAAUCUUCCGCAAUGGGCGAAAGCCUGACGGAGCAACGCCGCGUGAGUGAUGAAGGUCUUCGGAUCGUAAAACUCUGUUAUUAGGGAAGAACAUAUGUGUAAGUAACUGUGCACAUCUUGACGGUACCUAAUCAGAAAGCCACGGCUAACUACGUG